AUUGAACGCUGGCGGCAUGCUUAACACAUGCGAGUCGAACGGUAACAGGUGUAGCAAUCCCUGCUGACGAGUGGCGGACGGGUGAGGAAUGCUUGGGAAUCUGCCUGUUAGUGGGGGACAACCCGGGGAAACUCGGGCUAAUACCGCAGACGCUCUACGGAGGAAAGCGGGGGCCCGAAAGGCCUCGCGCUAACGGGUGAGCCCAAGUCGGAUUAGCUAGUUGGUGGGGUAAAAGCCUACCAAGGCGACGAUCCGUAGCUGGUCUGAGAGGACGAUCAGCCACACUGGAACUGAGACACGGCCCAGACUCCUACGGGAGGCAGCAGUGGGGAAUAUUGGACAAUGGGGGCAACCCUGAUCCAGCAAUGCCGCGUGUGUGAAGAAGGCCUGCGGGUUGUAAAGCACUGUUGGCAGGGAUGAAAAGCAGUGGAUUAAUAAUCGAGUGUGUUGACCUAACCUGCAGAAGAAGCACCGGCUAACUCUGUG
RNAcentral lists this ribosomal RNA (486 nucleotides) under uncultured bacterium. RNAcentral's name for it is "partial 16S ribosomal RNA". It matches the Rfam family "Bacterial small subunit ribosomal RNA", at positions 29 to 507 of the family's 1533-position model. The record is from RNAcentral.